ACCAUCAGUGCCCCUCCCGAGAUUUUGUCCUGGAUCCACGCCAUCAGGGUGGCGGUCCGGUGACCAGGACCCAGACACUGUCCGGGUGGCGGUCGGACGACCGGGACCCAAUAUGCCUGAUGUUGAAAGUAGGAAUCAUAGUGUGGAAGUGGAUUGGCAGGGUAACCGCACGCCCCCUGGUGUUGAGCACCAGCGUUUGUGCGGCCACAUAC
Molecule: non-coding RNA, 212 nt
Organism: Pelobates cultripes (western spadefoot toad)
Lineage: Eukaryota; Metazoa; Chordata; Amphibia; Anura; Pelobatidae
Source: the annotation of a GenBank genome assembly